This is a long non-coding RNA of Teleopsis dalmanni, 982 nucleotides long. RefSeq lists it as uncharacterized. NCBI's taxonomy places the organism in Eukaryota, Metazoa, Arthropoda, Insecta, Diptera, Diopsidae. The transcript has 5 exons. The record is from RefSeq and is a predicted model, not a curated record.
AAAGUUUUUCUCAAAAUUAUUUAAGUAAACUAUUUUGGAGAGGCACCUCCAAAUCUAAUUAGGAGAAUAAGAAAUGAAACCUCGGGAGGAGGAAUUACUAAAAACCAUGCAUUGGUUCAAUGAAUCGAUGACAACUUUGUUCAUAUCUCAUCUAUAUUAUUAUAUGUAAUGAUGGAAGUACAACUUACAGAUAGUCCCAUUAAUGGAGGAAUCAAAAGCAACUUGAAUAGACCAUAGAAAUCACUUCCUAGCAAUUAUAGGAAGGAUCACUUAUAAAAUUUAUACCACGACAAAAGUAAUAAUCCAUGAACGAAUUCGAAUUUAAUACGUGGAUUGAUCUACCGUGGAAUAAAAAUGAGCAGGCAUCUCCAAAUCUACGGAUGAGAAACCAUGGAAACAUUCGCUAUUUCGUGGUAGAAAAAUGAAUGGACACGAAUUUAAACAGGGUCCUGGGAACAAGAUACAUUUCCAUUUCUAAUAAAACGUAUAUGGCAGAAAAACUAAAGCUUUCCGAGACUUUAACAUUUGUAGUGGUCAAUAAUCAUAGGUUAUUAUAAUAGGUUAAGUUACCAUUAACCGACCACAGUCAAAAAUUAAUUUGUCUUGAGGCUUUUAUUCGUAGAUUGACUCACUGCAAAUUGAAAUCUGGAGCAGUCGAGUCUACGUCCAGGAGCCAUUCAUCAAUUUUGACAAUCCAGUGCCGGUACUAUUCCCAAGAAGAGUUUUUAAACAAAAGCUAGAUACGGUAACUUGUCCCUUUUGCAACUAUGUGUGGUUAAUCGGAAAUGGUGACAAAUCUCUUUGUCACCAUUAUCUAGAUACUUUUUAAGCCAGAUAGAUAGAUAGGUCUAGAUGGUGAAGCUGCUAAACAAGAUGCAUAGUACCAGUAUUGUAUGUACAAAAUUGAAUGUGGAAAACAAAUUUGAUCGAACAAAUCUCAGGUAUAGAAUCAGGAUCGUCCCCACAAACCAUGGUGAACCGC